This is a long non-coding RNA of Mytilus californianus (California mussel), 269 nucleotides long. RefSeq lists it as uncharacterized. The record is from RefSeq and is a predicted model, not a curated record. The transcript is spliced from 3 exons. Lineage: Eukaryota; Metazoa; Mollusca; Bivalvia; Mytilida; Mytilidae.
ACGGCAGUCCAGCUAAACAGUUAUCAGAUUGCACUGAUAUACAAAAAUGCCAGCCUGGUGAAUUCUGCUAUUUAGAACAUAUUUAUGAUAUCGGGAAGAACACAGAUUACUAUAUAGGAGGAUGUCGUGCUUCCGAGACCUGUCAUCUGCAGACUUGCCUAAAAGAUCAAUACAGUAGGAGAGAAGAGCACACAAAACUUGUACACUGCUCAGAGUGUUGUUCGUCGUCGUAUUGUAAUGGAAAACUAUGCAACUGUAAGCAGUGAAGU